Salarias fasciatus (jewelled blenny) is the source of this 734-nucleotide long non-coding RNA. Lineage: Eukaryota; Metazoa; Chordata; Actinopteri; Blenniiformes; Blenniidae. The record is from Ensembl.
GUUUUUGGGCUUCUGACACCUAUAUGACGUGACUGAAAAAUAGCAUAACAUGGGACCUUUAAUUUUUGUUGGUUUCUUAAAUUGUGUCUUGUUUCUAUUUACAGCAGAGGUCAUCGCCUGAAGUCAGCAAGCACACUGUGGAUGAGAGCGACAGAUCUCAGAGGUCAUCGCCUGAAGUCAGCAAGCACACUGUGGAUGAGAGCGACAGAUCUCAGCUGUCAUCUGGUCCUGUGGAUACAUCAAUCAUGGAAGAUAAGAUCAGCUUCAACAGCAGCAAUCCUGGGGCAAAUAACAGCCACUUCUCAUCUUUCAAUUCUCGAAUGGCCAAACUGAGUAAGCACCAUGAGGAAUGCUUCAAUCGACACAAAAUUGCAGAGGAGCAGCGAAAUGCUGAAGAAAAACGACGUACUGCGAUUCUGUUAAAGCGUGCACGGCUGGCACGGGAACUGGCAGAACUGGAUGCUCUUCUGACUUCACAAUCUCCCUUGGGUGAUGCCAUAGAGGACGAGUGUGAUGAUAUUCAACCACUAGCAUCAGACGCUCCAUCUGCGGAUGAAUCCACAAUGGCCAGUGAUCUAGUGGACAGUGGAGAGCCAUCAGCAACAACAGAGGCAAGAGCUCCUGUUAUGUGUUCAUCAUCAUCAUCAUCAUCAGUUUGUCCGAAUUCUGAGGAUUUUUCAGCGGAUGACUCCAAAUGGAAGUCAUUACGACAGAGAAAGCGCAGCGGACAGUAA